RNAcentral lists this long non-coding RNA (816 nucleotides) under Equus caballus (horse). Its description in RNAcentral is "lncRNA (ENSECAG00000058674.1)". The record is from RNAcentral. Lineage: Eukaryota; Metazoa; Chordata; Mammalia; Perissodactyla; Equidae.
UGUUACUUUUACUUUGAGGACACCUAGUGGCAGUUUAUAGGCAGCGUUCUUCAAGGCAAACCGAAAGAAACUUCAGGAUGUAGUAACUGUGGAGAAACGCUUACAACCGGACUUGCCGUUAGCCCGAAGACAAAAGAAAUCUGGAUGACACAUUGUCUUGGCAGUUGCAAAGCUCCCAGACGUCCUUCUAGUUCCCGGUUGGACAGUGAACACCUGCGCCCUCCAGCUGAAGAGCAACGUGGAAAGUCUGGAUUAGAGGAAGGAGCGCUGUUUGUUCCCUGCACAUAUUUUCAGGGUCUAAGCACAGUCAGCGCCAUCUGAAGUUUGGUUCAGCAGAAUUGAGGAAAUCUUGGCCUCCACAAAGAAGAAAAGUCCUAAACUGGAAAAGUGUUAAAACUACAGAACUCCAAAACAUACUUAAUCCUGGUGUGAUGCACGAAACAGGACUAAGAAAAGAUUCCCCACAGGAAAACAAGAGAUAUUAUUUGUCCAACACUGUCUUGUGGACUAUAAGUAGAAAGAAGACAGAAAAGUGCUGCAAUAUUCUCAAUAACCUGUUCAAUGGAGAGAACUCGCUGAAGACUGUUGGAUUCAGUGGCAUGUAAGAUACCCGGGAAGUAGAGAAGACUGGUGGAAGUGAAUCAUUUGGAAUCCUAAAGAGCAGCCAGAUGUCCCUUCUUCAUACAGGAUUGUAAGCUCUUUGAGGGCAGGAGCAACGUGCUGUUUAUUUCUGUGGACCCUGAAGCAUGUGACAAACGUAUGAUGGACAAGAAUCAACAAGGAGGGGUGAAGAGGGGGGAUCAGAGAAGUUCUGAG